AUUUUUAACUCCAACACUAUCUGCUUUCAGUCUGGAAGACGAUGCUUCUUGUUUACAGCCUGCAGAUCCUGGAAUCCACAGGUACAGUUCAUCACCUCCACCUUCAUUACUUGGGCCCAAAACUGUCCUUGGCUUUUGGGGUGGUGAUAAACUGUGCCUCAUAGUUGAUCCAAAUACAAAGAAUGAUGCGUAAUGGAAACAAAUGGAGCCUCCACAAUAUUCUAAUAUAAUAAAAGCUGUAGCGCUUC
Molecule: long non-coding RNA, 248 nt
Organism: Gavialis gangeticus (Gharial)
Lineage: Eukaryota; Metazoa; Chordata; Crocodylia; Gavialidae
Exons: 2
Source: RefSeq, a predicted model, not a curated record